GGACACUCCAACUGCUUUGAGGAGUGCUAUCUCGGCUUCGAGAAUUUUGGCGUCAUACGUGAACGCCACUGACAGGAUUCAGGUUCGGGAUAGCGACUUCAGUGGGUGUUGAAUUCGCGGAGGGCGAUGAGAUAAUGCAUACGGCGACAGUACCCGUCUUGCAACCUCACCGCCAGGAACGCUCGAAGGAUUCAACCUCCUUGCUGUCCACGCCCUGCGAAUACUGGGUUCGUGUGUGAAGGGUUCCGAAGCAAUAAAGAACAUGUUUGUGCAUUAUGAUACACCUGUGCCGGUGACACCGUGCAUCAUGUUCACUGGGAGCAGCAUUGAAGAAGCGGAGCAUAUGGACCUCUAUGUCGGCGA
Long non-coding RNA from Ornithodoros turicata, 363 nucleotides. RefSeq lists it as uncharacterized. Lineage: Eukaryota; Metazoa; Arthropoda; Arachnida; Ixodida; Argasidae. The record is from RefSeq and is a predicted model, not a curated record. The transcript has 4 exons.